GAUGAACGCUGGCGGCGUGCCUAAUACAUGCAAGUCGAGCGAACAGACGAGGAGCUUGCUCCUCUGACGUUAGCGGCGGACGGGUGAGUAACACGUGGAUAACCUACCUAUAAGACUGGGAUAACUUCGGGAAACCGGAGCUAAUACCGGAUAAUAUCUUGAACCGCAUGGUUCAAUAGUGAAAGACGGUUUUGCUGUCACUUAUAGAUGGAUCCGCGCCGCAUUAGCUAGUUGGUAAGGUAACGGCUUACCAAGGCAACGAUGCGUAGCCGACCUGAGAGGGUGAUCGGCCACACUGGAACUGAGACACGGUCCAGACUACUACGGGAGGCAGCAGUAGGGAAUCUUACGCAAUGGGCGAAAGCCUGACGGAGCAACGCCGAGUGAGUGAUGAAGGUCUUCGGAUCGGAAAACUCUGUUAUUAGGGAAGAACAAAUGUGUAAGUAACUAUGCACGUCUUGACGGUACCUAAUCAGAAAGCAACGGCUAACUACGUG
Molecule: ribosomal RNA, 497 nt
Filed under: uncultured bacterium
Lineage: Bacteria
Description: partial 16S ribosomal RNA
Rfam family: Bacterial small subunit ribosomal RNA
Source: RNAcentral